This 71-nucleotide transfer RNA is filed under the name Gemmatimonadota bacterium. Its description in RNAcentral is "Gemmatimonadetes bacterium (bioreactor metagenome) tRNA-Cys". It matches the Rfam family "tRNA". From Rfam's summary of the family: Transfer RNA (tRNA) molecules are approximately 80 nucleotides in length. Their secondary structure includes four short double-helical elements and three loops (D, anti-codon, and T loops). Lineage: Bacteria; Pseudomonadati; Gemmatimonadota. The record is from RNAcentral.
GUCCUCGUCGCCAAGCGGCAAGGCAGUGGCCUGCAACGCCACCAGCGUCGGUUCGAUCCCGACCGAGGACU